Molecule: ribosomal RNA, 585 nt
Filed under: Candida albicans
Lineage: Eukaryota; Fungi; Ascomycota; Pichiomycetes; Serinales; Debaryomycetaceae
Description: LSU rRNA
Rfam family: Eukaryotic large subunit ribosomal RNA
Source: RNAcentral
CCCCGGGCCAUUGCCUCAGUAGCGGCGAGUGAGCGGCAAAAGCUCAAAUUUGAAAUCUGGCGUCUUUGGCGUCCGAGUUGUAAUUUGAAGAAGGUAUCUUUGGGCCCGGCUCUUGUCUAUGUUCCUUGGAACAGGACGUCACAGAGGGUGAGAAUCCCGUGCGAUGAGAUGACCCGGGUCUGUGUAAAGUUCCUUCGACGAGUCGAGUUGUUUGGGAAUGCAGCUCUAAGUGGGUGGUAAAUUCCAUCUAAAGCUAAAUAUUGGCGAGAGACCGAUAGCGAACAAGUACAGUGAUGGAAAGAUGAAAAGAACUUUGAAAAGAGAGUGAAAAAGUACGUGAAAUUGUUGAAAGGGAAGGGCUUGAGAUCAGACUUGGUAUUUUGCAUGCUGCUCUCUCGGGGGCGGCCGCUGCGGUUUACCGGGCCAGCAUCGGUUUGGAGCGGCAGGAUAAUGGCGGAGGAAUGUGGCACGGCUUCUGCUGUGUGUUAUAGCCUCUGACGAUACUGCCAGCCUAGACCGAGGACUGCGGUUUUUACCUAGGAUGUUGGCAUAAUGAUCUUAAGUCGCCCGUCUUGAAACACGGAC